This 101-nucleotide small nucleolar RNA is filed under the name Lupinus angustifolius (narrow-leaved blue lupine). RNAcentral describes it as "Plant small nucleolar RNA R71". It matches the Rfam family "Plant small nucleolar RNA R71". From Rfam's summary of the family: R71 is a member of the C/D box family of snoRNAs containing the C (UGAUGA) and D (CUGA) box motifs. Multiple nearly identical copies of this snoRNA have been identified in Arabidopsis, and it is thought to function as a 2'-O-ribose methylation guide for 18S ribosomal RNA. Lineage: Eukaryota; Viridiplantae; Streptophyta; Magnoliopsida; Fabales; Fabaceae. The record is from Rfam by way of RNAcentral.
AUGCCAUGAUGAGGGCAAGCUUCAGUCAACUCAUUUAAUCUUUCCCAAGCUUCAACAAUUGACUCCCCAUCAUUUUGACUAAAGUUUUAGGUGAGGUGCCU